CGGGGUGCAGCAGGCGCGAAAACUCUACAAUGCAGGCAACUGCGAUAGGGGAACAUCGAGUGAUCCUCAUAUUGGGGGUCUGUCCCACCGUCUAAAAAACGGUGGUUAGCAAGGGCCGGGCAAGACCGGUGCCAGCCGCCGCGGUAAUACCGGCGGCUCGAGUGGUGGCCGAUAUUAUUGAGUCUAAAGGGUCCGUAGCCGGCUUUGCAAGUCUCUCGGGAAAUCCAGCGGCUUAACCGUUGGUCGUCCGGGGGGUACUACAUUGCUUGGGACUGGGAGAGGUAGGAGGUACUCAGGGGGUAGGAGUGAAAUCCUGUAAUCCUCUGGGGACCACCGGUGGCGAAGGCGUCCUACCAGAACAGGUCCGACGGUGAGGGACGAAAGCUAGGGGCACGAACCGGAUUAGAUACCCGGGUAGUCCUAGCCGUAAACGAUGCUCGCUAGGUGUCACAACAGUCGUGAACUGUUGUGGUGCCGUAGGGAAGCCGUGAAGCGAGCCACUUGGGAAGUACGACCGCAAGGUUGAAACUUAAAGGAAUUGGCGGGGGAGC
Molecule: ribosomal RNA, 551 nt
Filed under: uncultured archaeon
Lineage: Archaea
Description: bacterial SSU rRNA
Rfam family: Archaeal small subunit ribosomal RNA
Source: RNAcentral